Molecule: ribosomal RNA, 497 nt
Filed under: uncultured bacterium
Lineage: Bacteria
Description: partial 16S ribosomal RNA
Rfam family: Bacterial small subunit ribosomal RNA
Source: RNAcentral
GACGAACGCUGGCGGCGUGCCUAAUACAUGCAAGUCGAACGCUGAAGAGAGGAGCUUGCUCUUCUUGGAUGAGUUGCGAACGGGUGAGUAACGCGUAGGUAACCUGCCUUGUAGCGGGGGAUAACUAUAGGAAACGAUAGCUAAUACCGCAUAACAAUGGAUGACACAUGUCAUUUAUUUGAAAGGGGCAAUUGCUCCACUACAAGAUGGACCUGCGUUGUAUUAGCUAGUAGGUGAGGUAAUGGCUCACCUAGGCGACGAUACAUAGCCGACCUGAGAGGGUGAUCGGCCACACUGGGACUGAGACACGGCCCAGACUCCUACGGGAGGCAGCAGUAGGGAAUCUUCGGCAAUGGGGGCAACCCUGACCGAGCAACGCCGCGGGAGUGAAGAAGGUUGUCGGAUCGUAAAGCUCUGUUGUAAGUCAAGAAAGGGUGUGAGAGUGGAAAGUUCACACUGUGACGGUAGCUUAACAGAAAGGGACGGCUAACUACGUG